CCCUAAACAUAAAAAUCUGCCGGGUAAUACAAAUCUUUAUUUAAAACUCAAAGACCUUGGCGGUGUCUUAUACAAUCAGGGGAACCUGUCCCUUAAUUCGAUACUCCACGUAUGUCCUGAUCCACCUUGAACCUCAGCCUGUGUACUGCCGUCGUAAGUAUGCCUCAAAGAGUUAGCAUACAGUAAUAAGUCUACCUACGUCAGGUCAAAGUGCAGCCUAUGGUGGACUGGUGAUGGGUUACACUCCUAAUAAGGCUACCAAAACCCACUAAAAAAUGGGAGUAAAGCUGGACUUGAAAGUAAUUAAAUUCACUAUAAUAUCAUGAAUGGGAAUCUAAGACAUGCACACAUCGCCCGUCACUCUCGUCGAAAGAUG
This 376-nucleotide ribosomal RNA is filed under the name Tubificoides benedii. RNAcentral's name for it is "partial 12S ribosomal RNA". It matches the Rfam family "Bacterial small subunit ribosomal RNA", at positions 875 to 1415 of the family's 1533-position model. The record is from RNAcentral. Lineage: Eukaryota; Metazoa; Annelida; Clitellata; Tubificida; Naididae.